This 26-nucleotide non-coding RNA is filed under the name Homo sapiens (human). Lineage: Eukaryota; Metazoa; Chordata; Mammalia; Primates; Hominidae. The record is from RNAcentral.
AGAUCAAGAGGGUGAUGCAGAUGCUG